GACGAACGCUGGCGGCGUGCUUAACACAUGCAAGUCGAACGGAAAGGCCUAGCUUGCUGGGUACUCGAGUGGCGAACGGGUGAGUAACACGUGGGUGAUCUGCCCCUGACUUUGGGAUAAGCCUGGGAAACUGGGUCUAAUACCGGAUAUUCAUUUUUCCUCGCAUGGGGAUUUGUGGAAAGCUUUUGCGGUUGGGGAUGGGCCCUCGGCCUAUCAGCUUGUUGGUGGGGUAAUGGCCUACCAAGGCGACGACGGGUAGCCGACCUGAGAGGGUGAUCGGCCACACUGGGACUGAGACACGGCCCAGACUCCUACGGGAGGCAGCAGUGGGGAAUAUUGCACAAUGGGCGCAAGCCUGAUGCAGCGACGCCGCGUGAGGGAUGACGGCCUUCGGGUUGUAAACCUCUUUCAGCUCCGACGAAGCGCAAGUGACGGUAGGAGCAGAAGAAGCACCGGCCAACUACGUG
Molecule: ribosomal RNA, 467 nt
Filed under: uncultured bacterium
Lineage: Bacteria
Description: partial 16S ribosomal RNA
Rfam family: Bacterial small subunit ribosomal RNA
Source: RNAcentral